Sarcophilus harrisii (Tasmanian devil) is the source of this 249-nucleotide long non-coding RNA. RefSeq lists it as uncharacterized. Lineage: Eukaryota; Metazoa; Chordata; Mammalia; Dasyuromorphia; Dasyuridae. The record is from RefSeq and is a predicted model, not a curated record. The transcript has 2 exons.
CCCCCUCUGGUCUGCUUGUCUGUGAGCUUCCUCCCGUGCUCUUGCUCCCGCUGCCCUCAGCCUGUGCCAGAUAUAAAACUCUCCCCACCCUCAAGCAAAAAGAAACCUUUCCUGGCGAAUUUCAAGGAUGUCUUCUCUUGUUAACAAGCAUCAGCAAAAACACAGAAGACUCACAAAAUGAUGUGGGGAGCAAAGAGGAUGUGGAGCAUAUAUGGACCAAGAAUAAAAUAAUAAAGAAAACAGAAAGUA